UGGGGAAUAUUGCACAAUGGGCGCAAGCCUGAUGCAGCCAUGCCGCGUGGGUGAAGAAGGCCUUCGGGUUGUAAAGCACUUUCAGCGAGGAGGAAGGGUAGUGUGUUAAUAGCACAUUGCAUUGACGUUACUCGCAGAAGAAGCACCGGCUAACUCCGUGCCAGCAGCCGCGGUAAUACGGAGGGUGCAAGCGUUAAUCGGAAUUACUGGGCGUAAAGCGCACGCAGGCGGUUUGUUAAGUCAGAUGUGAAAUCCCCGCGCUUAACGGGGGAACUGCAUUUGAAACUGGCAAGCUAGAGUCUUGUAGAGGGGGGUAGAAUUCCAGGUGUAGCGGUGAAAUGCGUAGAGAUCUGGAGGAAUACCGGUGGCGAAGGCGGCCCCCUGGACAAAGACUGACGCUCAGGUGCGAAAGCGUGGGGAGCAAACA
This 427-nucleotide ribosomal RNA is filed under the name uncultured bacterium. Its description in RNAcentral is "partial 16S ribosomal RNA". It matches the Rfam family "Bacterial small subunit ribosomal RNA", at positions 355 to 774 of the family's 1533-position model. The record is from RNAcentral.